Molecule: long non-coding RNA, 784 nt
Organism: Arachis stenosperma
Lineage: Eukaryota; Viridiplantae; Streptophyta; Magnoliopsida; Fabales; Fabaceae
Exons: 3
Source: RefSeq, a predicted model, not a curated record
CUCCUCUUGGUUGCUUUGAGGAUGGAGACUGUUAUCUGCCUAACAAUAUAAUGAUUCUACUCUGCAAUAUAAUAGAUUUAAUACAACUGAAGGUUGAGUUUGCUUCUUUUGUCAUAUUGGUUGCUGAGGUUGUUGCAUAAUAUGUUCAGUAACAAGAUUUUGGUUUUCAUUGGCAUAUCCACAGGGUUUCAAGGAACUCUCAGGUAAUGCGUACAAGCUGCUGACUAGAAUGUUUAAAUGGAAGAAUGUCUCAAUUGAGAAGUGGUUGGCUUUUCUUUGGGAAAGUAGAAUGCUAAGUCAUGCUCUAUGUGUUUCACCUAUCUGUGAGGCAUUCCAGAAUUCAUUAGAGCACUUUAAUAAACUUUCAAAUAUUGGAUCUUGGACACGUUAUCUUCAAGGAAACCAUUCAUCAUUAAUAGGGUUUCAACAGAUUUUCUCAUUUUUUACUUUCUAGCUCUUAGAAAAUUUCUUGCUGUAAUGGAGACUCUUUUCAAAAUGACAUUACAGCUGAUGAUGUUCGAAAGGCUGCUCUGGAACUGAUUUCAAAUGUUUCUGUUCCAAAUCAUUCCACUUUUCUUGCUGGUUAUCUUUACUAUGAUUUGUGCCCAAGGCUUGUUGCAAAUGGACGGUUAAUAGAGGAGUGCUGAAAUGGUGAUCAUAUGCUAUCUUGAGGGAUCAAGAAUGUUUUGAUGCAUAGAGACACUAAGCUAUGUUAGAAUUUUUAUGUUUUGGUUGAACUUUUAUGUUAGAACUUUUAUGUUUUUGUUGAACUAAUCAAUGUACU